Long non-coding RNA from Cyprinus carpio (common carp), 762 nucleotides. RefSeq lists it as uncharacterized. NCBI's taxonomy places the organism in Eukaryota, Metazoa, Chordata, Actinopteri, Cypriniformes, Cyprinidae. The transcript is spliced from 3 exons. The record is from RefSeq and is a predicted model, not a curated record.
AUGGAACUUGUCCAAGUAGCGUUCGAAACGCCCGCCCCGCGAGUCUCUCCUGACCAAACGCGACACGGAGCUCCACACUGACCGCUGCCUCUCAAACGGAAGACUGUACAAAAGAGAAAAGAUUUAUGGUGGACUGCAGGCUCUUACUAUAUGUGGAGAUAAAUCUCAUUCAUCGCUUUUUGGGGCAUGAUAAACUUGUAUUUAUCAACCCACGAGGACAUUUGUUGAUUUUACAAAAACCCCUUCAAACUGGGACGACUGAUUGGAAUAAACCAGCAGGAUUCGGGGUGAAGGAAGGGAAGAGGGAUUAGGGGCUUAUCCUGAACAUGACCAAUCCUUAAGGAGCCUCCGUCAAGCCGUAGGCUACUAUUGCCCAGAUAAUUACAUUUAAUUUAUUGCCUUUAAAGACCCUUUAUCUCCCCCUGGAGAUUCCUGGCGAGUGGGCCGUUGGAUUUGAGUAUCUUUAAAAACAAAGGAUCAGGAGCAGAGGCCAGUGGGAGUGGAGGAGCAUGAGGAGAGUAUACAUGCAGGGAUAAAGCAACAAGCCUCCCUGUCGCCUUAGCAGGGUGCAGGUCAAAGGUUACUGAAUGAACUUGUAUUGGAAAAGCAUGCGAUCUCAUUGAUUACACAAGUCUGAUUAAGAGCAUGUAGCAGCAGACUCUCUGGACCUUACUAAAGAAGGAGCACAUGGUUUCAGUCCUAAACCACACAUCUGCAGUCUGAGUUGAAUUUAUUUCUGAACUGAUUUUUUUUUUUUUUUUU